GAACAGGGAGAUGAGGAGGGUAUCUCUGUUCAUACUAAUUUAGGUGGUGCACCUGUGGAAGAUCUGAAGCACCUGUCUCGGGCCAAUAUUUCUAUGGACAUUGAUACAUUCACAAGUCUCAAUCCAGAGGUGCUACAGAACCUGAGUCUCAGCAACGUGGCAAAAUUACUUGGGCGAAAUGUGGCAGAUCUUCGGAAGGCCCGGAGCAACCCAGCUGUAAGCUCUUGGCUCCAAAGCCAAAACCAGUCAGCCCUGGAGGCCCUGGGGUUGGAGGGGACCCCAAAGCAGCUGUACCCCUACCCUGCCACCACUGGGAAGCCUCUCCCUGCCUGGAUCACUGACGAAGGGCACAAGUCCUCUGCUUCACCCAGUGAGCAUAUCACUCUCGCCACUACCUCUGGCUGCUGUGUCCUGGUACCACUCCACCUCUUCAAUGCCCUUGGCCUCCCGGUAGGCCUUACCUUACUGAUGAAGCAUCUUUGAUACUCCUGGACAAGAAUUCUCUUCUUUUACCAGCCCUGCCCUGGACUCCACCAUCGUCUUUGAAUCAAAAGUUUCCCUUCUCCAAAACAUGGAGUUCGAUCUACAACUAGGACCCUUAUAUACUUCUCUCUUCAACUCAGAAUGGACAAGGGUGCCAAGCAGACUUGAGGCUGACUUUGGCCCUGAUCUGAUGAUGGGCCUUGGCCUUUGGGAGGCCUUGCUAUUCUCAGAACCUGGGUACCCAUUGGAGGAAUGAUGGCUGGACUGCAAGGGGACCUGCUCAGAGACCUUUUCCCUGCCCUUCCCCCAGGAGUCAUCUUCACAAAUGCUCUUACCACCCCUGGACUCCAGCCAGACAGGAUUUGGACUGAAGACUGUUUCUGCGGCAGUACCUUGGGGAAAGCUGGGCUCUUCACCUGAGCUGGCUGGGCUACCCUCAGCGGGGCAGCUCUCCACUGUCCAGACGCGGGAGACACAGGGCAAACCACCUGGGGCAGUCUCUGUCUUUCUCAAGUCUUCUAGAGUCCCAGAGGGCCUAAAUCCAGGCUGAGCAUGCUUGGAAACAGCUUGAAGGCCACAGAAGGUCAGGCCUCCCCUAGCAGGAGCCUGACUGCACCUCUGCCAAGAGCUAUGUUUCUCUGAGUGGGGAAAGCUCAAGUUUUGCUGUCUUUAU
RNAcentral lists this long non-coding RNA (1156 nucleotides) under Vombatus ursinus (common wombat). RNAcentral describes it as "lncRNA (ENSVURG00010015350.1)". The record is from RNAcentral. Lineage: Eukaryota; Metazoa; Chordata; Mammalia; Diprotodontia; Vombatidae.